Non-coding RNA from Cinara cedri, 307 nucleotides. Lineage: Eukaryota; Metazoa; Arthropoda; Insecta; Hemiptera; Aphididae. The record is from the annotation of a GenBank genome assembly.
UGGUGAUAACGACGACAGAGAAUAUUUCACUAUAAACUUGGCACCGGGUCCAUCCCGUUUGGAGGUCUGACGACCACCGCGAUGUCGUUCGGCUUUCAACAUUUCUCUAGUUUACGGUCCGCUUAUAUAUAUAUUUAAAUAAACGUUUUUUUUUUUUUAAUCAAUCAUACACCUGCCGCCAUAUUCGGUUUGCAUUAUUAAUAUUAUUAAUGUCACGUCGUCGGCCCGAGAAAUUCGUGUCCGAGCCGAGCUUUGUGCGUCGAAAAUCGACGUUAUUAUGAUUUUGGAUUCGUCACGAGUCGUUUCA